Molecule: non-coding RNA, 87 nt
Organism: Erinaceus europaeus (western European hedgehog)
Lineage: Eukaryota; Metazoa; Chordata; Mammalia; Eulipotyphla; Erinaceidae
Source: Rfam
GACAGAUGAUGGAUUAUUCUCAUGAUAGUCUUCGAGUGGCAGGGAGGGCACUAAUAAAAAUGCCAAUGACUCAGUUGAUACCAAUAG